RNAcentral lists this ribosomal RNA (273 nucleotides) under uncultured bacterium. Its description in RNAcentral is "partial 16S ribosomal RNA". It matches the Rfam family "Bacterial small subunit ribosomal RNA", at positions 524 to 796 of the family's 1533-position model. The record is from RNAcentral.
CACGUAGGGGACGAGCGUUGUCCGGAUUCAUUGGGCGUAAAGCGCGCGUAGGCGGCCCGGAGAGUCGGUCGUGAAACCCUGGGGCUCAACCCCAGGACUGCGUCCGAUACUUCCGGGCUGGAGGCAGGUAGGGGAGAUCGGAAUUCCUGGUGUAGCGGUGAAAUGCGCAGAUAUCAGGAGGAACACCGGUGGCGAAGGCGGAUCUCUGGGCCUUGCCUGACGCUGAGGCGCGAAAGCUAGGGGAGCGAACAGGAUUAGAAACCCCCGUAGUCC